UCCUNGGCNUGCUCUACAUGGCAGAUCCCCUGCGCAUCGGCGCGGCUGACUGUCAUGGGGCCUCCUUUUCAUUAUCCCUCUCGUGCUCUACAUUGGAGGGAAUCGGGUUAGAUGGCUUUGUCUGUGCGGUUCUAUCUGAGUUGGGAAACACGAUCGGUCGCAUGAUGUGUGUAGGUUGCUUGCCCGUUUGGAUAAAUUUUAUUGUUUCCAGGGUAGCCGAAUUGUUGGUGAAGCCCUCGUGCAUUGUUAUGGCGUUUCUGCUAUGGCACUGCAUGCGGGUGUUGUCGGCCCUUGCGGAUGCUGUGUCCACUAUAAGUCCUAUAGGCCAUCGGUCCACAGGCUUUGGAAGGUCCCAUCUACAGAUCGUGGGUCUGUCGGUUGCCCGUCAUGUUGGUCCUGCCUUCGUGUCGGAGCGUUGUUUGGGUUGCCUGUCCGAUCGAAUGAGCAGUGAUUGUCGGCUAGUGUUGUGAGAUGGUCCUCCCCUAAAGGGCAGUUCCGGAAACAAUGUGCUGACUCUCGUUUAAGUCGUGC
RNAcentral lists this unclassified non-coding RNA (531 nucleotides) under Rhynchospora seccoi. RNAcentral describes it as "partial external transcribed spacer 1F". The record is from RNAcentral. Lineage: Eukaryota; Viridiplantae; Streptophyta; Magnoliopsida; Poales; Cyperaceae.